GGAAGAAGCGAAAGUGACGGUACCUGCAGAAAAAGCACGGGCUAACUACGUGCCAGCAGCCGCGGUAAUACGUAGGGUGCAAGCGUUGUCCGGAAUUAUUGGGCGUAAAGAGCUCGUAGGCGGUUUGUCGCGUCUGCUGUGAAAUCCCGAGGCUCAACCUCGGGCUUGCAGUGGGUACGGGCAGACUAGAGUGCGGUAGGGGAGAUUGGAAUUCCUGGUGUAGCGGUGGAAUGCGCAGAUAUCAGGAGGAACACCGAUGGCGAAGGCAGAUCUCUGGGCCGUAACUGACGCUGAGGAGCGAAAGCGUGGGGAGCGAACAGGAUUAGAUACCCUGGUAGUCCACGCCGUAAACGUUGGGCGCUAGAUGUAGGGACCUUUCCACGGUUUCUGUGUCGUAGCUAACGCAUUAAGCGCCCCGCCUGGGGAGUACGGCCGCAAGGCUAAAACUCAAAGGAAUUGACGGGGGCCCGCACAAGCGGCGGAGCAUGCGGAUUAAUUCGAUGCAACGCGAAGAACCUUACCAAGGCUUGACAUACACCGGAAACGGCCAGAGAUGGUCGCCCCCUUGUGGUCGGUGUACAGGUGGUGCAUGGUUGUCGUCAGCUCGUGUCGUGAGAUGUUGGGUUAAGUCCCGCAACGAGCGCAACCCUCGUUCUAUGUUGCCAGCGCGUUAUGGCGGGGACUCAUAGGAGACUGCCGGGGUCAACUCGGAGGAAGGUGGGGAUGACGUCAAAUCAUCAUGCCCCUUAUGUCUUGGGCUUCACGCAUGCUACAAUGGCCGGUACAAAGGGCUGCGAUACCGUAAGGUGGAGCGAAUCCCAAAAAGCCGGUCUCAGUUCGGAUUGAGGUCUGCAACUCGACCUCAUGAAGUCGGAGUCGCUAGUAAUCGCAGAUCAGCAACGCUGCGGUGAAUACGUUCCCGGGCCUUGUACACACCGCCCGUCAAGUCAUGAAAGUCGGUAACACCCGAAGCCGGUGGCCUAACCCUUGUGGAAGGAGCCGUCG
RNAcentral lists this ribosomal RNA (1005 nucleotides) under Curtobacterium sp. Its description in RNAcentral is "bacterial SSU rRNA". It matches the Rfam family "Bacterial small subunit ribosomal RNA", at positions 443 to 1458 of the family's 1533-position model. The record is from RNAcentral. Lineage: Bacteria; Bacillati; Actinomycetota; Actinomycetes; Micrococcales; Microbacteriaceae.